AUCCUGGCUCAGGAUGAACGCUAGCUACAGGCUUAACACAUGCAAGUCGAGGGGCAGCAUGAGCUUAGCUUGCUAAGUUCGAUGGCGACCGGCGCACGGGUGAGUAACGCGUAUCCAACUUCCCCUUAGUAGGGCAUAGCCCGGCGAAAGUCGGAUUAAUACCCUAUGUUUUCCGUUGCAGGCAUCUAAUAUGGAACAAAGGUUCACCGCUAAGGGAUGGGGAUGCGUCUGAUUAGGUAGUCGGCGGGUAACGGCCCACCGAGCCUUCGAUCAGUAGGGGUUCUGAGAGGAAGGUCCCCCACAUUGGAACUGAGACACGGUCCAAACUCCUACGGGAGGCAGCAGUGAGGAAUAUUGGUCAAUGGGCGAGAGCCUGAACCAGCCAAGUAGCGUGCAGGAUGACGGCCCUAUGGGUUGUAAACUGCUUUUAUGCGGGGAUAAAGUCGCCUACGUGUAGGUGUUUGUAGGUACCGCAUGAAUAAGGACCGGCUAAUUCCGUGCC
This 502-nucleotide ribosomal RNA is filed under the name uncultured bacterium. RNAcentral's name for it is "bacterial SSU rRNA". It matches the Rfam family "Bacterial small subunit ribosomal RNA", at positions 16 to 509 of the family's 1533-position model. The record is from RNAcentral.